GUAGUGUUGAAAGCAUCAUGUGC
RNAcentral lists this non-coding RNA (23 nucleotides) under Arabidopsis thaliana (thale cress). The record is from RNAcentral. Lineage: Eukaryota; Viridiplantae; Streptophyta; Magnoliopsida; Brassicales; Brassicaceae.